RNAcentral lists this ribosomal RNA (429 nucleotides) under Pseudomonadota bacterium. Its description in RNAcentral is "Proteobacteria bacterium partial 16S ribosomal RNA". It matches the Rfam family "Bacterial small subunit ribosomal RNA", at positions 355 to 776 of the family's 1533-position model. Lineage: Bacteria; Pseudomonadati; Pseudomonadota. The record is from RNAcentral.
UGGGGAAUAUUGGACAAUGGGCGAAAGCCUGAUCCAGCCAUGCCGCGUGUGUGAAGAAGGUCUUCGGAUUGUAAAGCACUUUAAGUUGGGAGGAAGGGCAGUAAGCGAAUACCUUGCUGUUUUGACGUUACCGACAGAAUAAGCACCGGCUAACUCUGUGCCAGCAGCCGCGGUAAUACAGAGGGUGCAAGCGUUAAUCGGAAUUACUGGGCGUAAAGCGCGCGUAGGUGGUUCGUUAAGUUGAAUGUGAAAGCCCCGGGCUCAACCUGGGAAGUGCAUCCAAAACUGGCGAGCUAGAGUAGGGCAGAGGGUGGUGGAAUUUCCUGUGUAGCGGUGAAAUGCGUAGAUAUAGGAAGGAACACCAGUGGCGAAGGCGACCACCUGGGCUCAUACUGACACUGAGGUGCGAAAGCGUGGGGAGCAAACAGG